AAGCAUAUAACUUUGUGGUGUUCUGGGGCUUUUCUUAAUCAAAUCAUAUCUUCUUUGAUUUGAGUAGCACUAUAUCACGUUAAUAUUGCUUCAGAACUCAAACUUUUAGUGACACUAUUUUAGUUUGUGAAUACAUACAGGUGUUGUACUCUGUCCCCCUUUUUGGUGCUCCAUACUCUGGCUACCUGAACUUUCUUUGUAAGCUUCGAGUCCUGUCUUUGGAGGUUUAUUUUAUUUUAUUUUUUAAAUUAAAGAGGUUUUGAUUUAUGUCCCCCUCUAAGUGUAAAUACUUUUGUUAAUAUACAAUGUAGGGGCUAAUGCCAAACCUCCCAACACCUCAGGAGUACAGAUCCUAGGUGUUUGGAUUGAAUAAAACAAACAUAUGAAAGUUUGUCAUCCAGUGCAUCAGUUAGGUUAAAGUGAGGCAAAUUAAGAACACUCACUCAAUUUAGGUUUAGAUAUAUAAUACUUUUUGAUAGUUUAGUUCUUUUUUCCUAUUUCUUUUUGCCUCUUAAAGUUUUAAUUGAUAUUGCACGACUUCAAUGUGGAAUUUUGAAAGCCUCGAGAAGCGAACCAUGACACUCAAAUAGUUUAGUGUGGGCUUGAUAAUGUGAUGAUGAUGUCCCGGGGCCUUCAUGUACAUGUUAUUGGUGGCUUAAAGAAACAGAACUACUCUGCCACGAGCUGCAUUACAUCGUCCGAUAGUACUAUUUCUUCUACUUUCUACACAGGGCAGGAGCAUAUACACACUUGAUUAAUGAGGAGGAUCACGAAAAUUUGAAAUAGUCCUGAUGGACUCUUCCCAGGCAUUCUUGGUCAUGAGGCUGUAGGUUAGUGGAAAGUGUUGGUGAAGGAUUGAUUGAGGUUUAUCAGGCAAUAAGCAGAGAAUGCAAGUUUAACUUGAAGGAGUUUUGAUGAAUGAUCCCAAAAGUCAUAUUUCAAAUAGAAGUUGAAAAGUGAUGCUUAUGUUACAGGCUUUCUUUUAUUAAUUGCAGCUACAAUAGUAAUGAGGAUUGAGGGCCGAGGGAUUACUAGAAGACUGAUAUUUAUACAAUAUGUAGAUCAUUUUAUGUGCCUAGCUGUUUAAAAUAUUUGUAACGGAAUAGUAUGAGGUUGUAUUCUUAAUAUAGAAUAAUAUAUUGUGAGACAUUUAAUUUGGGGAAAC
This is a long non-coding RNA of Lycium ferocissimum, 1165 nucleotides long. RefSeq lists it as uncharacterized. NCBI's taxonomy places the organism in Eukaryota, Viridiplantae, Streptophyta, Magnoliopsida, Solanales, Solanaceae. The transcript is spliced from 4 exons. The record is from RefSeq and is a predicted model, not a curated record.